This 497-nucleotide ribosomal RNA is filed under the name uncultured bacterium. Its description in RNAcentral is "partial 16S ribosomal RNA". It matches the Rfam family "Bacterial small subunit ribosomal RNA", at positions 28 to 507 of the family's 1533-position model. The record is from RNAcentral.
GAUGAACGCUGGCGGCGUGCCUAAUACAUGCAAGUCGAGCGAACAGACGAGGAGCUUGCUCCUCUGACGUUAGCGGCGGACGGGUGAGUAACACGUGGAUAACCUACCUAUAAGACUGGGAUAACUUCGGGAAACCGGAGCUAAUACCGGAUAAUAUAUUGAACCGCAUGGUUCAAUAGUGAAAGACGGUUUUGCUGUCACUUAUAGAUGGAUCCGCGCCGCAUUAGCUAGUUGGUAAGGUAACGGCUUACCAAGGCAACGAUGCGUAGCCGACCUGAGAGGGUGGUCGGUCACACUGGAACUGAGACACGGUCCAGACUCCUACGGGAGGCAGCAGUGGGGAAUAUUGGACAAUGGGCGAAAGCAUGACACAGCAAUGCCGCGUGUGUGAAGAAGGUCUUCGGAUUGUAAAGCACUUUAAGUUGGGAGAAAGGGAAGUAAGUUAAUACCUUGCUGUUUUGACGUUACAAACAGAAUAAGCACCGGCUAACUUCGUG